UCGGGAAUUUUGCCCAAUGGACGAAAGUCUGAGGCAGCAACUCCGCGUGAGGGAUGAAGGCCUUCGGGUCGUAAACCUCUUUUCUCAGGGAAGAUUCAAGACGGUACCUGAGGAAUAAGCCACGGCUAACUACGUGCCAGCAGCCGCGGUAAUACGUAGGUGGCAAGCGUUGUCCGGAUUUACUGGGCGUAAAGAGCGCGCAGGCGGCUGGGCAAGUCCGAUGUGAAAGCUUCCGGCUUAACUGGAAAAUUGCAUCGGAAACUGCUCGGCUUGAAGGUGGGAGAGGGUAGCGGAAUUCCCGGUGUAGUGGUGAAAUGCGUAGAUAUCGGGAGGAACACCAGUGGCGAAGGCGGCUACCUGGCCCAUUCUUGACGCUGAGGCGCGAAAGCUAGGGGAGCAAAC
Molecule: ribosomal RNA, 402 nt
Filed under: uncultured bacterium
Lineage: Bacteria
Description: bacterial SSU rRNA
Rfam family: Bacterial small subunit ribosomal RNA
Source: RNAcentral